This 464-nucleotide ribosomal RNA is filed under the name uncultured bacterium. RNAcentral's name for it is "bacterial SSU rRNA". It matches the Rfam family "Bacterial small subunit ribosomal RNA", at positions 340 to 793 of the family's 1533-position model. The record is from RNAcentral.
UACGGGAGGCAGCAGUGGGGAAUAUUGCUACAAUGGGCGCAAGCCUUGAUGCAGUCCAUGCCGCGUGUAUGAAGUAAGGCCUUCGGGUUGUAAAGUACUUUCAGCAGUGAGGAAGGUGGGUAUGUUAAUAGCAUAUUCAUUUGACGUUAGCUGCAGAAGAAGCACCGGCUAACUCCGUGCCAGCAGCCGCGGUAAUACGGAGGGUGCGAGCGUUAAUCGGAAUUACUGGGCGUAAAGCGCAUGCAGGUGGUUUGUUAAGUCAGAUGUGAAAGCCCGGGGCUCAACCUCGGAAUUGCAUUUGAAACUGGCAAACUAGAGUACUGUAGAGGGGGUAGAAUUUCAGGUGUAGCGGUGAAAUGCGUAGAGAUCUGAAGGAAUACCGGUGGCGAAGGCGGCCCCCUGGACAGAUACUGACACUCAGAUGCGAAAGCGUGGGGAGCAAACAGGAUUAGAUACCCUGGUAG